UAUUUUUUACUCAUUUUUUGAAAAUAUUUACAAAAAUUUUCUUGCCAAAUUUGUUAUUUGGCCAUCUCUCAAUUGUACAGAGUCCUUCAAAAAAAAUCCUGGAUCCAGACAGUGAUCCGGAUCACCUCCAAAAUCUAAUCGAUUGUUACUUUUGCUCUUCCGGACAUUCUGUAAAAAUUUGGUGAAAGUUCGUCCAUGACUUUUUGAGUUAUGCUGUUAACAGACAGACAGACAGACAAACAGAUGGCCUGGCGGAGGUCUGCGCUCUCUGAGUGCUUUUCUUGUUACAUUAUGAAAUCAGUGCUGUGGAGAGGAUAUGUGUUGAGAUUUUUCAGUAGAUCAGAUGUUAGAUUGCACGUCUGUAAAAGCUGAUAAUAGCACUUUAGUUUCAUGAGGAAUAUCAAGUGGGAAUUCUUCAUUCUUGUUCAUUUAUCAUCUUUCACUCCUCAAACAGCUAGCUUACCUCGCUGUUCUAAUUAGCACACAAUAAAGCAGUGUGAGGCUGAGAGAGAAAUAAAGCCAUCAGGAGAUGAAGCACUUCAUCUUAAAACUGGCAUCUUAAACAGUUUACCUGGUUAAUUUGGACAUAUUAAAAAAGAUUAUUGCAUGAAGACACUAUCACCUUAUUACAAAAAUUGCCCCUCUUCAUUCUUGCUCUGUAAUUCACACAUCUCUGCGAAUCCACUUUCAGACAUCACUGUCAGUCUUGACCCCAGUUCUUCCAUGUCCACAAAGAGCAAGAAAAGCCAGUGUCCACACAAAAAAGAUGAAAUUAAUUCCAAGGCCAAUUUUAUUUUAUUGCAUUAGACACAAGUAUGGACUCAGUGUAUAUUCAAUAAAGAGUAAAACAGCAAAUGACUCUUCAGGUGCUGACUUCUUUAACCUUUGCACAGUUAAGGGUGAAUAAAUUGGCUCUUCAUUUCCAUGAGAAAACCCUGUGAUUUGUUUAAUUCAGGGUCGCUCGGACAUCUCACGCUCCCCCGGUCUCACACACACACACACACACACACACACGCUGCUCUCUCUCCCUCUCUCAUACUGGAGCCACACACUCUCAUAACACUUAUCUCCUGUAUAAGAGCAUUGCAUUUUUUUCAUGACGGUAUUGGAACUGAUACCGCUGCUAUUUUUAAACACCGGCGGUAUACGGUAUUACCGUAAUACCGCCCAAGCCUAAUCUACAGUGUUCUUCCCAGUCAAAAGAGCCUGAACCAGUGGCUAAGAGAUGACCCCUUCACCAAACACCACCCUCGCCUAAGGGCGCCACACCUGGAAGCACAACCAGUUCCUCAAGCGUCUGGCAGUUGUGCUGGAACAAAGAAGGACUAGCGAUCAAAGGUGCUUCUCUUUCAGCUCCUAGUUUCACAAAAACCAUGGUCUUUGUUCCAGCCCAAAAGCUACCAAAGAGGCCAAAUGUAACAAAAGCAUCAAGCUUCCUGGACGCAGCCCUGGACUGGAAAAUUAAGGUUGAGCGAGGCCCAAAGCUCACCUUUGCACAGGAGAUCAUUCCACCUAUUCUCUGGUCCAGAUCUGAUCCUGUGCUCAGCCCCUCACAAGGCUCCCCAUCACAGAGCUGGUGGUGCUGUGGAACAAUUUAGCUUGUGAAGUCUGUGAACACAAAAAUUUGAUCCAGCAGCUAAAACAGAACAAAUUGGCUGGAGAACAGACGUUUUCUUUGUGCAUGUUGGUUGCAGUAGUUCUAUGGCUUGUCAACCACCAGGCUGCUGAAAGGGAUAGAAGUUCUGAACUGACCGUUGCUGAAACGAAAAGAUAUGAACUGGACAACAGGAUGAUCAUCAGCUAGCAAUAGCGGAAAAAGUAGCAGGGGGUUCACCUUUGGACACCGCUGAGACCUCUGGAGAACUUGUGGGCCAAUCGGCAAAUAAAAGAAAGUUCUAUUCACAAGUGCUGUGACCCAGCCUCAAAAACCCAGACGGACGAGACAAACAGAAGAGGGGGCCUCUCCUCCGAAUUUCAUUCAGGAAAAGCAAGUUGGGCGUGGAUAAGGAUGGGGAUGACAGUAAGUGACUUUGGACUUCCAGCUGGAAAGAGGGACAGUUAUUGCUUUGUGAUCACACCUUUAUUGACACACUUCAUGACAACAUGUUCAUAAAAUCUGCUCUUGCCAAAUGGAGCCGGUCAUUUCUCUAUCUCCAAGGAGUCGCCCAUAUACCUGCCUUAGGACAAUGAAAAAGCCCCACCUUGGAUUGACAGUUGCAAAUUAACUUCAGCACUGUUAUAGUUUGGUUGCUGAGACACUGACCUGUUAAACCACAGUGGAUAUUUUGUUGUGUCACUGUAGAAAGGUAUAAGUGUUCAAAGUGUCUCCAUUCCGCUCAAGUGUGAAGCAGCUAAAUAGUAUUUCAGGUAUGAAAUAUCAUGUGGCUGAUUAUUUACACUGAUCAGCCACAAUAUUAAAAUCACCUCAUUUAUAUUGUGUUGCUCACCCUUUGGCCGCUAAAAAACAGCUCUGAACCGGACUUCUUCUGGAGGUGUCCUGAGCUGUCUGGCACCAGGAUGUUGGCAGUGGAUCCUCUGGGUUGAGAACUGGGGUAUCAUCAGGAUCAGGCCUGUUAAGCUCUAUCCCAGGAAUGGUCAGUGAGAUCUGGAUCUGAUUUCGGGAGUUUGAGGGACAACCUGGGCUCUUUGCUGUGCUUCUUUGUACCAUUCCUAUACAUAUAUAUACACAUAUAGUAUCUAUAUCUGUAUCUAUCUAUAUAUCUCUCUCUCUAUACACACACACACACACACACACACACACACACACACACACACUGUGUUUUCCAAUCCUUGUGGGGACAUACCAUUGACUCCCAUUCAUAUCUAACCCCUAACCCUUACCCUUACCCUAACCCUAACCUUAACCCAGACCAAAACAAUUCCUAACCCUAAAGAAACGUUUUUGCACUUUUACUUUCUUUCAGUAACAACAACAUGGCCAAGAAAACACUGUUUAAACUUGUGGGGACCCAAAUGAGGUCCCCACAAGUGACAUUGUUUUCGGUUUUCCUACAGUUGUGGGGACAUUUGGGCCCCACAAGUAUAGCCAGCACCUGACCCCACACACACACACACACACAAUGUCAAAGUUUGGCCAUGCCUUCUCAUUGAAUCAUUGAAUGUUUUUUAUUUAAUUCAGCAAUUUUCUACGUUGGAUGGAUCACUGUCAUACAUCUAAGUUGCAUGCAUAGGCUAUACAGACCAUACAUCCUCUGCCCCCGGUGCGUGACGGUCCCCAUAGAAAGUAUUCACUAAUUUGUAAGUCUCCUGUCCCCUCCUUUUACGUCCAUUUAAUAUUUUUCUUUAAAAGCUUAAAUGGUAUUUAAAUCACAUUACUUUGUUAAAAUCAGUUUUCACUUUGACAUAAAGGAAUCUUUUUUUGUUAAUUCUUUUUAAAAAAAGACAAAAUUACUUAACCAUAAUUCAGUGUUAAAAAGUAAUCAAAGGAUAAAAUCUUUCAAGCACACCAUACUUCUCACAUCUACAAUUAUGCAAGUAUGUGAGGGUCUGGUAGGGUCAAUGUGAUGUAAAUUUCCUCAUUUCCCUAAAUCUGAAAGAGUCCAAGUAGCCAAUGCAAUGCUGUUAGACAGAGACUUGUGAGUCCACUUUAUCUGUAUAGUACUUUGAUUAUCGAAAAGCAAAAUGCUUUAAAAUAAAGUCCAUUAGAGAAGCAAAUAUCAAUAUAAUAAUAUAAAUACGUAUAAAUAUGAUUAGACAGAUGUGUUUUUCUGUAUCUAUUUACACCUCUUUUUUCCCAUGUUUACCAAUAUGAAUUACUGUGUUUAAACUACUUCACCCUUAAGUAGGACAUACCUGUUUUUAUCUCGAGGUCAUUUCAGUAAGUUUUCCACUGACACCCAGGAUGACGCUGUAGUGUCAUACCAGUGGAGUCAUGUCUUAUUAUAGAUCUAUAACUGGAAUCAAGGUGCACUUGGAGAUAAAAUAAUUUUAUGGGUGGUGAUAGGUUGAUCAUUUAGUUGUCAGUAAAACAGAAACAUUCCUUUACACUUGUAGUUAAAACACAGUGAUAAUUGCAGAAGUUUCCAUAUGAUGCUAAAGUCUAUUUUUUUAUUAGCUGUUUACGCUAGCAACGCGUUAUCUCAAAUCUUGUGACGUUUUCAAAUCAAAGGUCACAUUUUCUUCCUCUUACUCUGUUUUACGGCCGUCUAGUCCAAUAACACUGUUGUAAAAAAAAAAGCCACAUUUUUGACUUUUUGUUGUUAAUUACAUUGAACUGAUUGGACACAGCUCCAUUUGUGGUUCUGUGUGGAUGUUUUAAGUGGACCGGUGAAUCCAAUCCUGUUUUAAUAAGAUGCUUUAGGGUUAAACGGUAAAUUGUGGAACUGCCAUAAAUUCAUAAAAAAGACUGAGAAAGAAUGUAAUCUUUGCUCGCCCUGUUCCUUAUUGCUUUUAUCUGUAACUUAUAAAGUCUGAGGUUGAGAGACGUGUAAGAAAAGGAACAGUACGUUCAAAUGUUUUGCACGAAUUUAAAAGCAAGCAAGUUUCUCAUAUAUCUUCGCUCAUUGCUUUGGUUGUACAAAUUCUCCAACAUUUUCCAAGCUAUGGAGAUAAGUCCAGUGAAGACAAAUGCUUCCAUGAUGUCCCUCAGCUGUUUACUAGAGCACCAGUGAUAAUCUGUGUCAGGUGUCAGCUGUAGAAUGUUUUUUGUACCUUGAUAACCUGGAACAAUAAAACAUAUCCUUGAUUUGA
Long non-coding RNA from Acanthochromis polyacanthus (spiny chromis), 4710 nucleotides. RefSeq lists it as uncharacterized. Lineage: Eukaryota; Metazoa; Chordata; Actinopteri; Pomacentridae. The record is from RefSeq and is a predicted model, not a curated record. The transcript has 3 exons.